GCAAAUCUUUGAUGGUGUGGAGCAAGUUGGCAAUAUAGUACAUAUUUUGAAGACAACUGGACAUCAUGCUUUCCCAGUAGUCGAUGAACCACCGUUUUCUGAUUCACCAGUGCUGUUUGGCAUAGUUCUUCGGGCACAUCUUCUUGUUUUGCUGAAGAAGAAAAAUUUUCUGUCUUCUCGUGUGCGCACAGGCGUUGAUGCUUCGGUACAUUUUUCGACCUAUGAUUUUCUCAAACGUGGCUCGGGCAAAUGUGACAACAUUGAUGAUAUAGAACUGAGUGCUGAGGAGAUGGAAAUGUAUAUUGAU
RNAcentral lists this unclassified non-coding RNA (307 nucleotides) under Hevea brasiliensis (rubber tree). The record is from RNAcentral. Lineage: Eukaryota; Viridiplantae; Streptophyta; Magnoliopsida; Malpighiales; Euphorbiaceae.